CACCUGAACCCAUUCCGAACUCAGAAGUGAAACGAAAUAGCGUCGAUGGUAGUGUGGGGUUUCCCCAUGUGAGAGUAGAACAUCGCCAGGC
RNAcentral lists this ribosomal RNA (91 nucleotides) under Vibrio vulnificus. Lineage: Bacteria; Pseudomonadati; Pseudomonadota; Gammaproteobacteria; Vibrionales; Vibrionaceae. The record is from RNAcentral.